GGAGAAUGUAGUGUUACCGUGA
This 22-nucleotide microRNA is filed under the name Mus musculus (house mouse). Its description in RNAcentral is "mmu-miR-3062-5p". The record is from miRBase by way of RNAcentral. Lineage: Eukaryota; Metazoa; Chordata; Mammalia; Rodentia; Muridae.